UCUUCCGCAAUGGACGAAAGUCUGACGGAGCAACGCCGCGUGAGCGAAGAAGGCCUUCGGGUCGUAAAGCUCUGUUGUUAGGGAAGAACAAGUACGAGAGUAACUGCUCGUACCUUGACGGUACCUAACCAGAAAGCCAUGGCUAACUACGUGCCAGCAGCCGCGGUAAUACGUAGGUGGCAAGCGUUGUCCGGAAUUAUUGGGCGUAAAGCGCGGGCAGGCGGUUUCUUAAGUCUGAUGUGAAAGCCCACGGCUAAACCGUGGAGGGUCAUUGGAAACUGGGGAACUUGAGUGCAGAAGAGGAGAGUGGAAUUCCACGUGUAGCGGUGAAAUGCGUAGAGAUGUGGAGGAACACCAGUGGCGAAGGCGACUCUCUGGUCUGUAACUGACGCUGAGGCGCGAAAGCGUGGGGAGCGAACAGG
RNAcentral lists this ribosomal RNA (422 nucleotides) under uncultured bacterium. RNAcentral describes it as "bacterial SSU rRNA". It matches the Rfam family "Bacterial small subunit ribosomal RNA", at positions 362 to 776 of the family's 1533-position model. The record is from RNAcentral.